RNAcentral lists this ribosomal RNA (253 nucleotides) under uncultured bacterium. Its description in RNAcentral is "partial 16S ribosomal RNA". It matches the Rfam family "Bacterial small subunit ribosomal RNA", at positions 524 to 776 of the family's 1533-position model. The record is from RNAcentral.
UACAGAGGUCUCAAGCGUUGUUCGGAUUCAUUGGGCGUAAAGGGUGCGUAGGUGGCGUCGUAAGUCAGGUGUGAAAUCUCGGGGCUCAACCCCGAAACUGCACUUGAUACUGCGAUGCUCGAGUACUGGAGAGGAGAUUGGAAUUUACGGUGUAGCAGUGAAAUGCGUAGAUAUCGUAAGGAAGACGAGUGGCGAAGGCGAAUCUCUGGACAGUUACUGACACUGAGGCACGAAGGCCAGGGGAGCAAACGGG